Mycena epipterygia is the source of this 101-nucleotide non-coding RNA. Lineage: Eukaryota; Fungi; Basidiomycota; Agaricomycetes; Agaricales; Mycenaceae. The record is from the annotation of a GenBank genome assembly.
GGCCCAAUGGUCUAGACGUAUGAUACACGCUUCGGGUUAAAUCUCAUGAUUGAAUAAUCAUCCUCUGUGUGUGGUCCCGGGUUCAAUUCCCGGUUGGGCCC